UAACGCGUGGGCAACCUGCCUCAUACAGGGGGAUAGCAUCGGGAAACUGGUGGUAAAACCGCAUAAGCGCACGAAGACGCAUGUAUUCGUGUGAAAAGGAGAAAUCUGGUAUGAGAUGGACCCGCGUCUGAUUAGCUAGUUGGAGUGGUAAAAGCACACCAAGGCGACGAUCAGUAGCCGGCCUGAGAGGGUGGACGGCCACAUUGGGACUGAGACACGGCCCAGACUCCUACGGAAGGCAGCAG
This 245-nucleotide ribosomal RNA is filed under the name uncultured bacterium. Its description in RNAcentral is "partial 16S ribosomal RNA". It matches the Rfam family "Bacterial small subunit ribosomal RNA", at positions 111 to 354 of the family's 1533-position model. The record is from RNAcentral.